CCUACGGGAGGCAGCAGUGAGGAAUAUUGGUCAAUGGACGAGAGUCUGAACCAGCCAAGUAGCGUGAAGGAUGACUGCCCUAUGGGUUGUAAACUUCUUUUAUAUGGGAAUAAAACGUUCCACGUGUGGGAUUUUGUAUGUACCAUAUGAAUAAGGAUCGGCUAACUCCGUGCCAGCAGCCGCGGUAAUACGGAGGAUCCGAGCGUUAUCCGGAUUUAUUGGGUUUAAAGGGAGCGUAGGUGGAUUGUUAAGUCAGUUGUGAAAGUUUGCGGCUCAACCGUAAAAUUGCAGUUGAAACUGGCAGUCUUGAGUACAGUAGAGGUGGGCGGAAUUCGUGGUGUAGCGGUGAAAUGCUUAGAUAUCACGAAGAACUCCGAUGGCGAAGGCAGUUCACUGGACUGCAACUGACACUGAGGCUCGAAAGUGUGGGUAUCAAACAGGAUUAGAUACCCUUGUAGUC
Molecule: ribosomal RNA, 460 nt
Filed under: uncultured bacterium
Lineage: Bacteria
Description: partial 16S ribosomal RNA
Rfam family: Bacterial small subunit ribosomal RNA
Source: RNAcentral